UGGCCGAGGCGGCGGCGGCGCGCAUGCGAGGUCUGUGGAGGGCUGGGCAUCGUGGAGGAGAGGGCGGUACGGCGUCCUUACCUAUCGGCUCGCGGCUCGGAGGUCGGUGAUCUCUCGAUCUGUGAUUAAAACCGUUCCUCUAAGCCGCCAGAAUCUAGGCAGAAUUAAGCAGCAAUCUCAGGCAUGCUGGUGCUGGAGAUACUCGUUUUCCUCUGUAGAGCUUCUCACGAAUGGGCUGCGCGUCCCUGCCAGGAGCUGAACGGAGCUGACGGAUGUCGCCUACCUGGGCUCGUGCAAAGCCUUUGGCGUGGUCCCUCACCACGUCCUGAUCUCUGCACUGGGGAGAUACAGGUUUGAGAAGUGGAAUUAUGGCUGACUCCUAAUGAUGCCCGUGUCCUCAGGAGCCCUUUCUGGGGAUUUCUGAUCAGCACAAAAACAUGCUAGGAGGAGGAUGGAGUUAAUCAGUUGGGCUUUCCUGCUGCUAUAUUCAGCCUAGCAAACUGACUCCGACAGAUGUUUCUGCUUUUAGGCCAUGAGGAACUUUACUGACUGGCUUUCCCUGUGCUCAAGAAGCACAUCAAGCUAUCAAAGACUUGGUUUCUGUCAGAGCGUUGUCUCUUCAGGGGCCAUGGACUGCAGGUGACUGAAGUUGCAGAGCAGAGCCAUGCAGAGCAGAGCUCAGAGCCCCCUGCUUCCAGCCAGCCUGCCAUCAGUUGUCCCAACUUGCUGACUUUUUGGGAUAAGGGCCAGACCUUGAACAAAAUGUCUUGCACAGCCGUUAGACAAGACCAGAUUAAAGCAAAAUGGACCAGAUUUUCUUCUCAGUUGCACCACUGUAUUUGAAAUUAUGCCAGGACAACUCCAGGAAGCAGUUUCAUGCUGAAAGGAAGGACAUCUCAGGGGGUAUCAGGUUUUCCUGACUCAUGGCAUUGCUGAUUUUCAAAGGGACACAAUGUCUAGAAUUGUGUCUGCCUGUCCUGCAAAUGGUGCCUUUUUAAAUCAGACACAGUUAUUUGUGCUCACUACACAGGUAUCUCAAGGCAUUGAGUUCCAUGGGUCAAUAAGGAAGGCAGUUAUCCGUCCAACCAAAAUUACAGGUGCAAAAUUGUGCCUGCAGCUACCCGUGGCCAUAAAAAACAGGCAUCCUCUGAAGGCCGGUUGUAACAGAAGUGUUGCCACACAGCAGAUGUGGGAGUCCUUCCUGCCCCAGUUGAGCCCUCGGGGCGUUUCUGCAGCACGUAGUCUGUUUGCUUGGAGGAUGGAGAAAAACAAUUUUCCCCAUCCUUUAUGGGGAUGACUGUUUUUGUGGACUCUGAUGUUACUAAAACAAUUUCUACUUCAUGAAUCAUUAGUCUGCCAGUGACAUGUUAUGCAGCUGCGCUUGUAUCAAAUCCCUGUUAAUUAUCUAAGUAAGCAAGUUUGCUUCCUUUCCCACUAUGGUCGCUAGUCGUGUGUCUUGUUGGAGGCUCCUGUCCUGCCCUGCCAGCAGUUGUCCUUGCAAGGCUUUUCUCCUCGAAGCUGCCGAUGUGAGGAAAGACUUGUUCCCCAAGGCCUGAUUCAAAUCCUUUUGAAAUCAGGAGAGAGGUGCUCACAGUUCUUAAUGGGUUUGUAUUACAUCCUCAGAUAGUAACUUUUUCCGGGCAGGAAUUUUGCUUCAAAUGCUUCUUGAAGACAUUUGAGAGAUCUGUCAACUGAUAAAAUACCCAGCUUUAAACCAAUACAAACAGUGGAUCCCCUGAGUAUGCUGUUAUAUUGUAGAAUAAAGUUGCUUUUUGUUUGUUUUUCUUGAAAAAGCAAUAGUCUCAUCUUCUUUCUUGUCCAGAAUCAGACCCAUGCUAGCUUUUCAGUUAGAGACAUCCAAACCUGUAUGCAUAAGCCCAACUUUGUCUCCCACCUAACAAAGAAUGAAGAAAAGGCAGUUCCUCACUCUCUACUAAUCUGCACCUGUAGAUCAUCCAGUAGAUGUCCAAAUUCCUCUUUUUUUGGCUCAAAUCUACUGGAGUGUAAGGGCUGCUUGAGGAGUCUGAGGCAAGGAAAAUCCAGAUUUGUCCUCAAUGGGGUUGUUUCAUGCAAAUCUCAAAACAUGAGAUUUUUUACAACAAUCAUUUUAUUCAAAGGUGUUAACAAAAACACAAUGAAAACCAUGAUAUAAGCCCAUUUUUCCACCCACCAGAGAUUUACCUUCACUUUGUGUGGCUG
Non-coding RNA from Meleagris gallopavo (turkey), 2199 nucleotides. The record is from RefSeq and is a predicted model, not a curated record. Lineage: Eukaryota; Metazoa; Chordata; Aves; Galliformes; Phasianidae.